AUUGAACGCUGGCGGCAGGCCUAACACAUGCAAGUCGAGCGGAGCGGCGGACGGGUGAGUAAUGCCUAGGAAUCUGCCUGGUAGUGGGGGAUAACGUCCGGAAACGGGCGCUAAUACCGCAUACUCUUAGCUGAGGCUAGGUCGGAUUAGCUAGUUGGUGGGGUAAAGGCUUACCAAGGCGACGAUCCGUAACUGGUCUGAGAGGAUGAUCAGUCACACUGGAACUGAGACACGGUCCAGACUCCUACGGGAGGCAGCAGUGGGGAAUAUUGCACAAUGGGCGAAAGCCUGAUGCAGCCAUGCCGCGUGUGUGAAGAAGGUCUUCGGGUUGUAAAGCACUUUAAGUUGGGAGGCGUUACCAGCAGAAUAAGCACCGGCUAACUUCGUGCCAGCAGCCGCGGUAAUAC
RNAcentral lists this ribosomal RNA (407 nucleotides) under uncultured bacterium. RNAcentral describes it as "partial 16S ribosomal RNA". It matches the Rfam family "Bacterial small subunit ribosomal RNA", at positions 30 to 526 of the family's 1533-position model. The record is from RNAcentral.